This 301-nucleotide unclassified non-coding RNA is filed under the name uncultured fungus. RNAcentral's name for it is "partial contains small subunit ribosomal RNA, internal transcribed spacer 1, and 5.8S ribosomal RNA". The stretch from base 1 to 73 matches the Rfam family "Eukaryotic small subunit ribosomal RNA", at positions 1759 to 1831 of the family's 1831-position model. Lineage: Eukaryota; Fungi. The record is from RNAcentral.
GCAAACUUGGUCAUUUAGAGGAAGUAAAAGUCGUAACAAGGUUUCCGUAGGUGAACCUGCGGAAGGAUCAUUAUUGAGAAAGGGUCUUAAUAGGCCCCAUCUCCAACCCUUGUGACUAAUAUUCCAAGUUGCUUUGGCAGGCUGCCCCGUGUGGGCUGUUGGGGAUGGUUGAUCACACUACUAGCCUCAUACCUGCCAGGAGCCUUCAAAAACUCUCAUCGAAUGGUAUUAUCUGAGUAUAAGAAUAAUAAAAACUUUCAACAACGGAUCUCUUGGCUCUGGCAUCGAUGAAGAACGCAGC